GAUGAAGAACGCAGCGAAAUGCGAUACUUGGUGUGAAUUGCAGAAUCCCGUGAACCAUCGAGUCUUUGAACGCAAGUUGCGCCCGAAGCCAUUAGGCCGAGGGCACGCCUGCCUGGGCGUCACACGUCGUUGCCCCCCCAUCUACUCCUUCGGGAUUGCGGGGGGCGGAUGAUGGCCUCCCGUGCGCCUUGUCGCGCGGUUGGCAUAAAUACCAAGUCCUCGGCGACGCACGCCACGACAAUCGGUGGUUGCGAAACCUCGGUUGCCUGUCGUGUGCGGUCGUCGCGCAUCGAGGGCUCGAAAAAAUUGCCGGGCUCCGGCUCGGCUUUCAACGCGACCCCAGGUCAGGCGGGGUUACCCGCUGAAUUUAAGCAUAUCAAUACGGAGGA
RNAcentral lists this unclassified non-coding RNA (389 nucleotides) under soil metagenome. RNAcentral's name for it is "partial contains 5.8S ribosomal RNA, internal transcribed spacer 2, and large subunit ribosomal RNA". The stretch from base 1 to 122 matches the Rfam family "5.8S ribosomal RNA", at positions 35 to 154 of the family's 154-position model. The record is from RNAcentral.